RNAcentral lists this ribosomal RNA (468 nucleotides) under uncultured bacterium. RNAcentral describes it as "partial 16S ribosomal RNA". It matches the Rfam family "Bacterial small subunit ribosomal RNA", at positions 28 to 507 of the family's 1533-position model. The record is from RNAcentral.
GACGAACGCUGGCGGCGUGCUUAACACAUGCAAGUCGAACGGAAAGGCCCUGCUUUCGUGGGGUGCUCGAGUGGCGAACGGGUGUGUAACACGUGUGUAACCUGCUCUUGAUUUUGGGAUAACUUCAGGAAACUGGGGCUAAUACCGGAUAGGAGCUCCUGCUGCAUGGUGGGGGUUGGAAAGUUUGGGCGGUUGGGGAUGGACUCGCGGCUUACCAGCUUGUUGGUGGGGUAGGGGCUUACCAAGGCUUUGAUGGGUAGCCGGCCUGAGAGGGUGACCGGCCACAUUGGGACUGAGAUACGGCCCAGACUCCUACGGGAGGCAGCAGUGGAGAAUUUUGCACAAUGGGCGGAAGCCUGAUGCAGCAACGCCGCGUGCGGGAUGACGGCCUUCGGGUUAUAAACCGCUUUCGCCUGUGACGAAGCGUGAGUGACGGUAAUGAGUAAAGAAGCACCGGCUAACUACGUG